This 21-nucleotide small nuclear RNA is filed under the name Arabidopsis thaliana (thale cress). RNAcentral describes it as "snRNA_13009". The record is from RNAcentral. Lineage: Eukaryota; Viridiplantae; Streptophyta; Magnoliopsida; Brassicales; Brassicaceae.
UCACCUGCCGAAUCAACUAGC